Molecule: ribosomal RNA, 253 nt
Filed under: uncultured bacterium
Lineage: Bacteria
Description: partial 16S ribosomal RNA
Rfam family: Bacterial small subunit ribosomal RNA
Source: RNAcentral
UACGUAGGGUGCAAGCGUUAAUCGGAAUUACUGGGCGUAAAGCGUGCGCAGGCGGUCUUGCAAGACAGAUGUGAAAUCCCCGGGCUCAACCUGGGAACUGCAUUUGUGACUGCAAGGCUGGAGUGCAGCAGAGGGGGAUGGAAUUCCGCGUGUAGCAGUGAAAUGCGUAGAUAUGCGGAGGAACACCGAUGGCGAAGGCAAUCCCCUGGGCCUGCACUGACGCUCAUGCACGAAAGCGUGGGGAGCAAACAGG